CCUACGGGUGGCAGCAGUGAGGAAUAUUGGUCAAUGGACGAGAGUCUGAACCAGCCAAGUAGCGUGAAGGAUGACUGCCCUAUGGGUUGUAAACUUCUUUUAUAUGGGAAUAAAGUGAGGAACGUGUUCCUUUUUGUAUGUACCAUAUGAAUAAGCAUCGGCUAACUCCGUGCCAGCAGCCGCGGUAAUACGGAGGAUGCGAGCGUUAUCCGGAUUUAUUGGGUUUAAAGGGUGCGUAGGUGGUUAAUUAAGUCAGCGGUGAAAGUUUGUGGCUCAACCAUAAAAUUGCCGUUGAAACUGGUUGACUUGAGUAUAUUUGAGGUAGGCGGAAUGCGUGGUGUAGCGGUGAAAUGCAUAGAUAUCACGCAGAACCCCGAUUGCGAAGGCAGCAUGCCGGCUUCCGACUGACGCUGAAGCACGAAAGCGUGGGGAUCGAACAGGAUUAGAUACCCUGGUAGUC
RNAcentral lists this ribosomal RNA (460 nucleotides) under uncultured bacterium. Its description in RNAcentral is "partial 16S ribosomal RNA". It matches the Rfam family "Bacterial small subunit ribosomal RNA", at positions 338 to 795 of the family's 1533-position model. The record is from RNAcentral.